Non-coding RNA from Dipodomys ordii (Ord's kangaroo rat), 65 nucleotides. The record is from Rfam. NCBI's taxonomy places the organism in Eukaryota, Metazoa, Chordata, Mammalia, Rodentia, Heteromyidae.
GAUGGCUCAGUGGUAGAGUGCUUGCCUUGCAUGCAUGAGGCCCUGGGUUUGAUUCCUCAGCAUCA